Molecule: ribosomal RNA, 469 nt
Filed under: uncultured bacterium
Lineage: Bacteria
Description: partial 16S ribosomal RNA
Rfam family: Bacterial small subunit ribosomal RNA
Source: RNAcentral
GACGAACGCUGGCGGCGUGCUUAACACAUGCAAGUCGAACGGAAAGGCCCUGCUUGCAGGGUGCUCGAGUGGCGAACGGGUGAGUAACACGUGGGUGAUCUGCCCCUUACUUUGGGAUAAGCCUGGGAAACUGGGUCUAGUACUGGAUAGGACCAUGCUGUAGGUGGUGUGGUGGAAAGAUUAGUUUCGGUAAGGGAUGAGCUCGCGGCCUAUCAGCUUGUUGGUGGGGUAAUGGCCUACCAAGGCGUCGACGGGUAGCCGGCCUGAGAGGGUGGACGGCCACAUUGGGACUGAGAUACGGCGCAGACUCCUACGGGAGGCAGCAGUGGGGAAGAGUGCACAAUGGGCGCAAGCCUGAUGCAGCGACGCCGCGUGGGGGAUGACGGCCUUCGGGUUGUAAACUCCUUUCAGCCAUGACGAAGCCCUUGUGGUGACGGUAGUGGUAGAAGAAGCACCGGCUAACUACGUG